RNAcentral lists this ribosomal RNA (443 nucleotides) under Mycobacterium tuberculosis. RNAcentral describes it as "partial 23S ribosomal RNA". It matches the Rfam family "Bacterial large subunit ribosomal RNA", at positions 306 to 762 of the family's 2925-position model. The record is from RNAcentral. Lineage: Bacteria; Bacillati; Actinomycetota; Actinomycetes; Mycobacteriales; Mycobacteriaceae.
GCCCUUAAGUUGAUUUGAGAUUAGUGGAACGCUCUGGAAAGUGCGGCCAUAGUGGGUGAUAGCCCCGUACACGAAAAUCUCUUAUCAAUGAAAUCGAGUAGGACGGAGCACGAGAAACUUUGUCUGAAUAUGGGGGGACCAUCCUCCAAGGCUAAAUACUACUGACCGACCGAUAGUGAACCAGUACCGUGAGGGAAAGGCGAAAAGAACCCCUGUGAGGGGAGUGAAAUAGAACCUGAAACCGUGUGCGUACAAGCAGUAGGAGCUCCGCAAGGAGUGACUGCGUACCUUUUGUAUAAUGGGUCAGCGACUUAUAUUCAGUGGCGAGCUUAACCGAAUAGGGGAGGCGUAGCGAAAGCGAGUCUUAAUAGGGCGUUUAGUCGCUGGGUAUAGACCCGAAACCGGGCGAUCUAUCCAUGGGCAGGUUGAAGGUUAGGUAACAC